UACAGAGGGUGCGAGCGUUAAUCGGAAUUACUGGGCGUAAAGGGUGCGUAGGUGGUUUGGUGUGUGUUAUGUGAAAGCCCCGGGCUUAACCUGGGAAGUGCAUAGCAAACUGCCAGACUGGAGUACAAGAGAGGGUAGUGGAAUUUCCGGUGUAGCGGUGAAAUGCGUAGAUAUCGGAAGGAACGUCAAUGGCGAAGGCAGCUACCUGGCUUGAUACUGACACUGAGGCACGAAAGCGUGGGGAGCGAACAGG
RNAcentral lists this ribosomal RNA (253 nucleotides) under uncultured bacterium. Its description in RNAcentral is "partial 16S ribosomal RNA". It matches the Rfam family "Bacterial small subunit ribosomal RNA", at positions 524 to 776 of the family's 1533-position model. The record is from RNAcentral.